This is a small nucleolar RNA of Jaculus jaculus (lesser Egyptian jerboa), 204 nucleotides long. Its record names the gene U3. It matches the Rfam family "Small nucleolar RNA U3". Rfam says of the family: Small nucleolar RNAs (snoRNAs) are involved in the processing and modification of rRNA in the nucleolus. NCBI's taxonomy places the organism in Eukaryota, Metazoa, Chordata, Mammalia, Rodentia, Dipodidae. The record is from Ensembl.
UAGACUAUACUUUCAGGGAUCAUUUCUAUAGUUCAUUACUAGAGAAGUUUCUCUGACUGUGUAGAGUAAAGGAAACCACGAAGAGGAGGCUGGCAUUCUCUCCUGAGCAUGAAGUCAGCUCUUGAUGCAGCUGCCACCUGCCAUUGAUGGUCAUUCCUGCUCUGCUUAAAGGGAGCUGGAGGGAGAGGAUGCAGUUUGAGUGGC